RNAcentral lists this long non-coding RNA (1027 nucleotides) under Homo sapiens (human). Its description in RNAcentral is "non-protein coding lnc-USP9X-5:1". Lineage: Eukaryota; Metazoa; Chordata; Mammalia; Primates; Hominidae. The record is from RNAcentral.
ACCAAAGUUCCUCACCUUUUGGUAAGACAGAUGUGUUGGUGACCAAAACAGAGCAAACGGAAUCCUGAAUGAGACUGAAGGGCUGCAGCUAUGUGGUAGAAAAGACAGGAGACUACCCUAAGGCCUCUUUGCCUACAACACAGAUGCCUAACAAUAUUUUUUUCUAAGGUUCUCAGUGACAGUUGGGUGUCAUUUUUACAUAUUGUGUUUUGAAAUUAUAAUCCAAGCACUUAAAUAGAAGAGAGGCCUAAGGUAAACAUCUCGGGUGACCAGAUGAUUUUCCUCUUGUAGUCAUUUUUCACCCACUAAGGCUCAGUCAACUCAUAGUAGUAAUAAAACCCUUGUACUCAUACAGUGCUUUACUGUGAAAAAGUAUUCUAGACAGUAUUUCAUUUCAUUGUUUCCUAAAGUCCUGGUGAGGAGACAUGCCCUAAAGGCCCAAGCCUUUGAGAAAGAAGGAACCCAUAAAGAAGGAGGUCAUUCUGGAAGCUCCCAGCUGUGCCAGUGAAGGUCAGUGCAGUACCCUGAGGCCGUUAUCACUCGUAGGUCCAAAGUCAAUGAGACAGAGUGGUAAUUGGAACCCAAAAGGGGAAACCAGGCUGGUCUCAAACUCCCGGCCUCAAGAGAUCCUCCUGCCUUGGCCUCCCACAUUCUUCCUUUGAUUUCUUGCUGGAGCUCCCCCUUAGCCAAACACAAGCAGAAGUCAGAGGGACAGAGAGCAGGGUGGAGGAAAAUGGAGAGCAGGUCUGAGAAGCAACAGAAGCUAUCUAGCACUACCUGAGUGACCAGGAUUUUCUUCCUUAAUUGAACCCUUCUAUGCCAUAUCAUCGCAUCAUUUAACUCUUGCCAGCCCUGGAAGUAAAUGGUAUUUUCCCUAUUUUAGACGUGAAAAAACAGUGACCAAGAGAGGUUAAAUGAUUUAGCCAAGGUCCCUCAGUUAGUAGGUAGGGGGGCCAUGAUAUGACCCAAGUUUGCUGACACCAGAGCUUGUUCUGUUCACCACCCAGUUCAGCCUCCUCAAUGCCAC